AUUACUCUAUGCUCCAUUUGUUAUGAACCAAAUAUGUUAUGAAUGAAAUGACAUUUGCGAUUCUGUAUCUAAUGAGAUGAUAUCCUUGAAUCUCUUGGAUUCUGUCUUGCAUUGUGAUAUCUUGUUUGUUUGAAACUGUCCCUUCUCGUGCUAUAUAUGCUUUGUUACUUGCUGAGCUGUUUUUAGCUCACUCCGUUGUUAUAUAAAUCUUUCAGGUCAGCUUGUCACUCUUUGAGAUGUUUGAAUUGGGUUGAGGCAGUGGAGAGCUAUUCUGAAUUAUGGGC
RNAcentral lists this long non-coding RNA (284 nucleotides) under Musa acuminata (dwarf banana). RNAcentral's name for it is "long non-coding RNA (MACU_LNC006903)". Lineage: Eukaryota; Viridiplantae; Streptophyta; Magnoliopsida; Zingiberales; Musaceae. The record is from RNAcentral.